GUGGGGAAUAUUGGACAAUGGGCGAAAGCCUGAUCCAGCCAUGCCGCGUGUGUGAAGAAGGUCUUCGGAUUGUAAAGCACUUUAAGUUGGGAGGAAGGGCAGUAAGUUAAUACCUUGCUGUUUUGACGUUACCGACAGAAUAAGCACCGGCUAACUUCGUGCCAGCAGCCGCGGUAAUACGAAGGGUGCAAGCGUUAAUCGGAAUUACUGGGCGUAAAGCGCGCGUAGGUGGUUCAGCAAGUUGGAGGUGAAAUCCCCGGGCUCAACCUGGGAACUGCCUCAAAAACUACUGGGCUAGAGUACGGUAGAGGGUAGUGGAAUUUCCUGUGUAGCGGUGAAAUGCGUAGAUAUAGGAAGGAACACCAGUGGCGAAGGCGACUACCUGGACUGAUACUGACACUGAGGUGCGAAAGCGUGGGGAGCAAACAGGAUUAGAUACCCCAGUAGUCC
This 450-nucleotide ribosomal RNA is filed under the name uncultured bacterium. RNAcentral's name for it is "partial 16S ribosomal RNA". It matches the Rfam family "Bacterial small subunit ribosomal RNA", at positions 354 to 796 of the family's 1533-position model. The record is from RNAcentral.